GUUCUUGCUUUGACAGCACAUAUACUAAAAUUGAAAUGAUACAGAGAAGAUUAGCAUGGCCCCUGCACAAGGAUGAAUGGAAAUCCCACACAUAUACUUAU
RNAcentral lists this small nuclear RNA (101 nucleotides) under Meriones unguiculatus (Mongolian gerbil). Lineage: Eukaryota; Metazoa; Chordata; Mammalia; Rodentia; Muridae. The record is from RNAcentral.